UACGUAGGGGGCAAGCGUUAUCCGGAUUUACUGGGUGUAAAGGGAGCGUAGACGGCAGGGCAAGUCUGGAGUGAAAGGCAGGGGCCCAACCCCUGGACUGCUCUGGAAACUGUCCGGCUGGAGUGCAGGAGAGGUAAGUGGAAUUCCUAGUGUAGCGGUGAAAUGCGUAGAUAUUAGGAGGAACACCAGUGGCGAAGGCGGCUUACUGGACUGUAACUGACGUUGGGGCUCGAAAGCGUGGGGAGCAAACAGG
RNAcentral lists this ribosomal RNA (253 nucleotides) under uncultured bacterium. RNAcentral's name for it is "partial 16S ribosomal RNA". It matches the Rfam family "Bacterial small subunit ribosomal RNA", at positions 524 to 776 of the family's 1533-position model. The record is from RNAcentral.